Molecule: transfer RNA, 59 nt
Filed under: Camelus bactrianus (Bactrian camel)
Lineage: Eukaryota; Metazoa; Chordata; Mammalia; Artiodactyla; Camelidae
Also listed under: 2 other names
Rfam family: tRNA
About the family: Transfer RNA (tRNA) molecules are approximately 80 nucleotides in length.
Source: Rfam by way of RNAcentral
GAGGGUAUAGCUCAUGUUUGGCAUACAUGAGGUCCUGGGUUUGAUCCCCAGUACCUCCU